Molecule: long non-coding RNA, 1484 nt
Organism: Anguilla anguilla (European eel)
Lineage: Eukaryota; Metazoa; Chordata; Actinopteri; Anguilliformes; Anguillidae
Exons: 2
Source: RefSeq, a predicted model, not a curated record
CUGGUGCCAACCGACUGACGUCACACAGGCGACACUGGUUGGAUCCGGUUGGAUCUAUGGGAAGUGAGGUCCAAUAACACACCUGCAAAUACCGCUUCUCGCCAUUGGUACCGCCGAAGAGAACGAAAUGGAAAUCUUGGAGAUAGGCCUAUUUCACAUUUCCAGAUGUGAUGGGCCACAGAGAAGGGUGAGAACAUGGUGUGGCCGGAGAAGAAGACACACCACCUGCACAUCUUUGUUUUCCCUUACAUACUGCCGCUACAUGUCCAUAUUUUUUUGAACAUUUAUAACAUCUAAGAGGUGGGGGAAUAUAAGGUCUAACAUCUUAGCUCAUACACACCCAAUGUAUAUUUUGCUGGCAGUGUUUCCUCAUCAAAGUUUAUCAUUAUGGACAAGCUAUCACAUUUCUCUCCAUUUUUGACGUUCAGGCAUCAGACAUUUAACCUCUGUUAACCUUUUGUAUUGGAUUUUCUUUAAUUUUAUCCAUUGUUAUAUGUACUGGUAUUCCUGCAAUAACUCCUCAAACCCACUUUCUUUCACCCAACUUUGAACACGUUAAGUUCUUGCCAUUUAUUCUAUUCAUUCUUGGUGCUUGUUGUCUUUUAUCCCUACAUAUAAUCAGCAAAGAUCCAUUUCUUAGUUCUAGCGCUCUUUACCUCCCCUAUUACUUGAAUGAAGUACCCUCCUGCAUCAAUUUAACAAUUACCUUGCAUUCCUCUCUUUUCUUUCUCACUACAACUGUUCUUUCUUCAUCUUCCGAAGUAGUAUUUUGAUUCUUUUUACUUUUAUUCUUUCUAGUUAUACUCCAUUCCUCUUUUUUCCCACCACUGUCACUGCAAAACCUUGCCUGCUGCAAUAACAGUUGUCUUCCACUUCUGGUCAGUUCCGGUCAACACCUUAUUGGAUAAUAAAUAAAAAAAAUUCCUCAGCAAUAUUGAAUCUAAAACAGAGGUUUAAGCCAAAUAUGCUUCACUUUGAUGAGAACCAGGUAAAUGAAUCAGAAAUUUGUAUUAAUCUGUUCUUUUAAAGCUUAUCUUUUAACAAUCUCUUUAAUCUUGUUAUAUCUAAAUGUAAAACAGUCUGUAACCUUGCUUUUGAAAAUCGCAAUACAAAAUAAGUUAUUUCUUAUAAAUUCUUUAAAUAUGCGAAUUUGGCAAAUCGUUAUCACUGAUUCCCAAUAGAAUGCUGAGGUGAGUUGAACGUGGACUACCUCUUUGAUGUAAUACUUAAAGAGGUGAGAUGUGAGUGCUGAGUUCUAAUUGAUAUUGGUUACAUGAUAAACAAUAAUUGAUGUGUAAAGGGGACUAGUGACUUGUGUUUUCUGUUUUAAAGGUCAUCAUCAGAAUCCUGGAAAGGAAUGAAAGUUUCAGCCAGAAGACGUUUUGCCAUUAGAAGCUUCAGAAACCAAGCAAUUGAUUGUCUUGAUUAUUUAUUUAUUUAUUGUUUGUUUUUUAUGCUUGAAUAAAGAACUUACUGAGGAAAUG